CCUACGGGGGGCAGCAGUGGGGAAUAUUGGUCAAUGGGGGAAACCCUGAUCCAGCGACGCCGCGUGAGUGAAGAAGUAUUUCGGUAUGUAAAGCUCUAUUAGCAGGGAAGAAAAUGACGGUACCUGACUAAUAAGCCCCGGCUAACUACGUGCCAGCAGCCGCGGUAAUACGUAGGGGGCAAGCGUUAUCCGGAUUUACUGGGCGUAAAGGGGGCGUAGACGGGAUAGCAAGUCAGAUGUGAAAGCCUGGGGCUUAACCCCAGGCCUGCAUUUGAAACUGUGAGGCUGGAGUACAGGAGAGGUAAGCGGAAUUCCUGGUGUAGCGGUGAAAUGCGUAGAUAUUAGGAGGAAUACCGAUUGCGAAGGCGGCUUACUGGACUAUAACUGACGCUGAGGCUCGAAAGCGUGGGGAGCAAACAGGAUUAGAUACCCGGGUAGUC
RNAcentral lists this ribosomal RNA (440 nucleotides) under uncultured bacterium. Its description in RNAcentral is "partial 16S ribosomal RNA". It matches the Rfam family "Bacterial small subunit ribosomal RNA", at positions 338 to 795 of the family's 1533-position model. The record is from RNAcentral.